AACCACAUAAAUAAAUGUGUAUUUCCAAAUGAGUGGACCAGAAAGUAGACUUGGGAAGCCCUGAGGGUGAGGAUGGGGGACCAGCCCAGUCUUUUACUAGAGCCAGUGGAUCCAAGCUCCUGGGUCUGAUACAUAGCUUCCCCCUAAGAUUUUUCUAGGUUAUAGGACCUAUAGGUCCUUUGUACCUGAUGCUGAGAAGGAAAUCAUCAGGGCUUACUCCCUCCUGGGCACACCCCAUCUGUUCUGGCUUAGCUCUCUGCAGGCUGCUCCGACCUCUGUGAGAAUCAGGGAAGAGGCCAAUGUGCCACUCUAUCGAUAUCCCAGGGCCGGUGGACCAGCGAGCUUUGGAAAAUAGUCCUUCUACUGAUCUAUGCCCAUAGAUGAAUGUUACAACUACACACAUAAUGUUUGUGGAAGGCAAAGACCAGCAAACACCCUCACGUGGCAGCCUGGCAGCCUACUGACCCUGAGAGUCCCAUUGCUACGAUGCUGAGUCACAAAAACAACACAAUGGUCUUCCAAAUGGACAGAAUGACUCUGGGGAACAGUUGUGGUUCUCCCUCAAUCCCCGGUGUGGCACUGGUUGUAAGGCCCUUACCCAGGGACAAAAGUGGAGUCCAUUGCUUUGGGGUUCCAAGUAGACAAUGUUGGGGAGGGAGUUAUAUGUGUGUGUAUCCACUCUGUCCAUGGAUCUCAGAUAGGACUGACCCUUACCUUUGAUGUACUCUGGUCCUGACCCAAAGAAGUUUCAGAUACAACAAACGUUUACUGAGCCCCUACAAAGUUCCAAGCCUUUUACUUUAUACUUUGACACAUUUUAUAUCAUUUAAUCUUUAACAAUAACCCUUUAAGGUAGGAAUUAUCUGCAUUAUACAGAUGAGAAAACAAUCGCAAAGAGGUUCAUUGAUUUGCUCAAGUAUAUCAUACAGCUUUUUUUUUUUAAACACUCACACACUAUACUUUUAGCUGAGGCCUGUCUGUGUUGGUUGCUUAUCUUACAGUAUUUUUUUUUGUCUUCUCUACUUUUGGAGCAACUUUUCCCCUUAUGCAAGCCCCCUUCUUUCUUCUUUCACUAGCCCCAUGGGCUCUUUUUUUUUUUAUUAAUACUGCAUUUAAUAGCACAAAAAAUCACGAAUACAAAGAAACUGGCAAAGGUGUUUGUCAAUGAGAUAUCCUUGCCUCCUCCACUUUUCUGCUUUCAUACCCAUACAGGUAAUGGGCUACAUUUGUAUAGACUUUUCUUUCCCCCUCCAAACAUAUAACUGUUAUGUGAUUGGUCAGUUGAAGCUGAAACACCCAUGGAGAAAGAUGUUUUAUGGUUACAAGGGCACACACCCCCCCCACACACACCACCCCCCACCCACCCCACACUUUCCCACACAAUCUUUUGGAGGAAUAUAGGAUAUGUACCAGUGUCAGGAUUUCCCUGCUCCUGCCUUCUCCGCCUAGAGCAUUCCUGCCAUUGAAUUCUCCUUUAAGUGACCAUUUAGACUAGAGCCUCUUCUCCCGCCCCGUCUAUUUCUCUUCCAACCGUGACCUUUGAGACACUGGGUACUGUUCAAUUCUUACUCUGUCAGGCCCAUGGGCCAUGCAAGUAGGUCCUUUAAAUCUCGAUGCCACUUGUAGUACAGGUGUCGCCAUCUUCCAUUGCAGGUGGGUCUGUGUAUCACUUCAGUAGGCUUGUGUAUUCAUUUCUUUCACUUUUUCUGACUCGUGCUCCAGGACCUGUUUGUGAUAGAACAGUAAAUACCCUUCACUGUCCAGCACGUCCUUAAUACUGGCCUUGGUGAUGACGGCAUCAUCACACUUGAACCACUGGUCCUUGUGGUGCCGGAUGAAGCUGGUGUAAUGGCCGCUCUCCAAGGUUCCUUGGUGAUUAACCACAGCAAACAAGGAAUACUUAUUCUCGUCGUUUCCACUAUUGGUUGGCAGCUGCAACUGUCCAUUCAUCCUACUCUCUUUACUUGAGGCCAUAAAUGGGGUCAUAUCCAGCUCCAGAGGAAAGGAUAUAUAUGUAGUGAUCUUGCGCCUCUGUUUGGCAGAGUGUUCGAACCGUUUGAAAUGAAAACAGGCAACAACAGGUAAUUUAUUCAUCGUGAGUUGCUUGGUAGACUCCUGGUAGCUUUGGCAACUACCGCACUUGAUUUUGGCACUGCUUCCCAAGUGCUCUGGCCUUGUAAACCUUCGCAAGCAGUCUGUGAGGGUGGUGAUUCCUGGGAUGUGGCUCUCCCCAUUCACACUGCUCUCCCUCCCUGGGCUCAUGGGCCAGAAGGAGGUGCACGAGCCAGGCAAGUCCAAACUGAUGUCCCAGCAUGGGUCUAUGGUGGUGGAGACACCAUGGCAGGCUUGACAGGUGACAUCCGACUGCAGGCCACCUGUGAAGAUUUGGUCUAUGAUGCAGUUACAGUGGUUGGGAUUGUUGGCAGCUUUCCCAGCAUCAUCGCCUUUGCAGUGCCUGUGCAGGACGUCUAAGGCUGCAAUGAGGAAUUCGUGGGCAUCCUGCUGCCUGUACCCUGCUAAGUGGCGUGCAUGUAUCCAUACCAGGUGCAGCAACUUAUAAGGAACGUGAGGAGACGGGUUUCCAGAGUACAACUCCCGAAAGAGUGAAGACAUCUCGCAGACCAGACACAGCUCAGGACUCGGCAUCUCACACCUGUGCCUGUCAGAGAGGAAGAAAUCUCUCAGUAUGGGAGUAUGGGUAAGGGCCUGGACGAUGCAGUUCAUAAAGCACGUGUUGCCAAGAUUGAUCAGUCCUCUCAGACCGAUGGUAAAGCUGGAGGUGAUCCUUCUUCUCCUCGGAUUGUACCCCAGCAGUUCUAACUCGGGUUUGGUCAUCUCCCAGGUUGGAUAUUUCUCACCGAGUCCCAUCACUGAACACUGCUGGUGAGAAACCUCGGUUGAGGUGGAGGCUUGUAAUUUCAAAGCUUCUCCUUGCUCUUCUUUGGCAAUUUGCUCAAUGUCUUUGUCAUACACAUAAUCCUUACACAUAAAGCAGUAUAUACCUCCGUAAUAAAGGUCUACGGCUAAGUUGUGUUGUUUUGUCUCGGCGUGCUCGUGAAUGUGUUUCUCGGUGAAGCAGCCAAAGAAGACACAGGAAAGGCAAGAGUGAAGUCUGUUCAAAUGGGUGCCACACACAUGGCAGAUGCACGACUUUGCCUUGCUUUUCCUGGUCUCUGGGGUUCCACACCACACGAAGCACUGGUAGAUCACCCGCAGUUCCUGCCUCCAGUUCUCUCCCACCUUAAAGCUGUUCACGUGGGAACAGCCUGGUGGACCCACAGCGAAAUCCACAUCCAGGCAUCCGACCCCAGGGCCGCGCCGGGGCCGGGGCCGGGGCGGGGGCCGUGGCCUAGGCUGCGGCGGGGUACGGAGUCGGGUCUGUGGCCGUGGCCGGGGUCGGCGGCGGGGGGCACGACUGCGCCGAGGAGAGGGAUCGGGGGGCCGCGGGGGGUCGGAGGGAAGGGUGGGGGGAGGAACCUCGUCGCUGCUGCCGCCACCGCCGCUCCGCGCCGGGUUCUCAUCCUCCAGCUCCUGCUUCGGCUCCCCCUUCGGCUCCUGCUCCGCCUCCGGUACCGGCUCGGGUUCGGGCUCCAGCUUGAGCUCAACCCGGCGGCCCGGACCCUCUGCUGUCUCCACCUUCCCGGCGGCGUCCACCUUCCCCGCCGCCUCCACCUUCCCCGCCGC
RNAcentral lists this long non-coding RNA (3684 nucleotides) under Canis lupus familiaris (dog). Its description in RNAcentral is "lncRNA (ENSCAFG00000055641.1, ENSCAFG00805017061.1, ENSCAFG00845025782.1)". Lineage: Eukaryota; Metazoa; Chordata; Mammalia; Carnivora; Canidae. The record is from RNAcentral.